RNAcentral lists this ribosomal RNA (253 nucleotides) under uncultured bacterium. RNAcentral's name for it is "partial 16S ribosomal RNA". It matches the Rfam family "Bacterial small subunit ribosomal RNA", at positions 524 to 776 of the family's 1533-position model. The record is from RNAcentral.
UACAGAGGUCUCAAGCGUUGUUCGGAUUCAUUGGGCGUAAAGGGUGCGUAGGUGGCGCUGUAAGUCGGGUGUGAAAUUUCGGAGCUUAACUCCGAAACUGCAUUCGAUACUGCGGUGCUUGAGGACUGGAGAGGAGACUGGAAUUCAUGGUGUAGCAGUGAAAUGCGUAGAGAUCGUAAGGAAGACCAGUGGCGAAGGCGGGUCUCUGGACAGUUCCUGACACUGAGGCACGAAGGCCAGGGGAGCAAACGGG